This 955-nucleotide ribosomal RNA is filed under the name uncultured bacterium. RNAcentral's name for it is "bacterial SSU rRNA". It matches the Rfam family "Bacterial small subunit ribosomal RNA", at positions 8 to 983 of the family's 1533-position model. The record is from RNAcentral.
AGAGUUUGAUCAUGGCUCAGGACGAACGCUGGCGGCGCGCCUAACACAUGCAAGUCGAGCGAGAACCAGGGCUUGCCCUGGGGACAGCGGCGAACGGGUGCGUAACACGUGAGCAACCUGCCCCAAAGACCGGGACAACCCGAGGAAACUCGGACUAAUACCGGAUGCCCUCACCGGGUCGCAUGGUCUGGUGAGGAAAUGGAUUCCGCUUUGGGAUGGGCUCGCGGUCUAUCAGCUUGUUGGUGGGGUAACGGCCUACCAAGGCGACGACGGAUAGCUGGUCUGAGAGGACGAUCAGCCACACUGGGACUGAGACACGGCCCAGACUCCUACGGGAGGCAGCAGUGGGGAAUCUUGCGCAAUGGGGGAAACCCUGACGCAGCGACGCCGCGUGCGGGAUGAAGGCCUUCGGGUUGUAAACCGCUUUCAGCAGGGACGAAAUUGACGGUACCUGCAGAAGAAGGCCCGGCCAACUACGUGCCAGCAGCCGCGGUAAUACGUAGGGGCCUAGCGUUGUCCGGAAUUAUCGGGCGUAAAGAGCUCGUAGGCGGUUCGGCAAGUCGGAUGUGAAAUCUCCACGCUUAACGUGGAGGGGCCAUUCGAAACUGCUGUGACUCGAGUCCGGUAGGGGAGUGUGGAAUUCCCGGUGUAGCGGUGAAAUGCGCAGAUAUCGGGAGGAACACCAGUAGCGAAGGCGGCACUCUGGGCCGGUACUGACGCUGAGGAGCGAAAGCGUGGGGAGCGAACAGGAUUAGAUACCCUGGUAGUCCACGCCGUAAACGUUGGGCACUAGGUGUGGGACUCUAUCGACGGGUUUCGUGCCGUAGCUAACGCAUUAGUGCCCCGCCUGGGGAGUACGGCGCAAGGCUAAACUCAAAGGAAUUGACGGGGGCCCGCACAAGCGGCGGAGCGUGUGGCUUAUUCGAUGCAACGCGAAGAACCUUACCUGGGCUUG